GAUGAACGCUGACAGAAUGCUUAACACAUGCAAGUCAACUUGAACUUCGGUUUGGGUGGCGGACGGGUGAGUAACGCGUAAAGAACUUGCCUCACAGCUAGGGACAACAUUUGGAAACGAAUGCUAAUACCUGAUAUUAUGAUUUUAGGGCAUCCUAGAAUUAUGAAAGCUAUAUGCGCUGUGAGAGAGCUUUGCGUCCCAUUAGCUAGUUGGAGAGGUAACGGCUCACCAAGGCGAUGAUGGGUAGCCGGCCUGAGAGGGUGAACGGCCACAAGGGGACUGAGACACGGCCCUUACUCCUACGGGAGGCAGCAGUGGGGAAUAGUGGACAAUGGACCAAGAGUCUGAUCCAGCAAUUCUGUGUGCACGAUGAAGUUUUUCGGAAUGUAAAGUGCUUUCAGUUGGGAAGAAAAAAAUGACGGUACCAACAGAAGAAGAGACGGCUAAAUACGUG
RNAcentral lists this ribosomal RNA (454 nucleotides) under uncultured bacterium. RNAcentral describes it as "partial 16S ribosomal RNA". It matches the Rfam family "Bacterial small subunit ribosomal RNA", at positions 28 to 507 of the family's 1533-position model. The record is from RNAcentral.